Molecule: long non-coding RNA, 547 nt
Organism: Ostrinia nubilalis (European corn borer)
Lineage: Eukaryota; Metazoa; Arthropoda; Insecta; Lepidoptera; Crambidae
Exons: 3
Source: RefSeq, a predicted model, not a curated record
CGGCGGCGGCGGCGGCGGCGGCGGCGGCGGCUGGAGGCCUCCGCCGCCCUCUCGCCGUCGUCGGCCGAAUAUUAUCAUGAACCGAACGGAACGAUGCGAUGGGGACAGCAAGCAGCGGAGAGCAGGACUCGGCCUGCCUGCCUGCCUGCCUGCCUGUCUGUCUGCCUCUGUAUUUAAAAUGUGACUCGUCUAUCGCAAGAAACACAUGGAGGAGUGUGGUACAUACGCGGUGAUGAAGAUUCUCGCCGCGCUGCCGCCGCAGAUUGAUGGCGAACGAAUCGAAUCCACCAACGACGAGGCUUCACAGGUGCGACAGUAAUAUUUUAUUAUAAUAAUGUAUUUAUUAUUUUCACAUAAAUUUUGCUGUUGUAUUAUUUAAUCUAUAUGAGUGAUAAUAUGAAAUGAAACAUUGGUAUAAUGUAUAAUUAUUAUGUACCUACUCUAAAGACGUUUUAUGACAUUGACGCACUUAUUUAUAGUAAUUGUUAUUACAAAUAAAAUUUGUUUGACUUAUUUAAUAUAUUUUUUUACAAAACCCCAUUUUUAU